RNAcentral lists this transfer RNA (107 nucleotides) under Vulcanisaeta distributa DSM 14429. It matches the Rfam family "tRNA". From Rfam's summary of the family: Transfer RNA (tRNA) molecules are approximately 80 nucleotides in length. Their secondary structure includes four short double-helical elements and three loops (D, anti-codon, and T loops). Lineage: Archaea; Thermoproteati; Thermoproteota; Thermoprotei; Thermoproteales; Thermoproteaceae. The record is from Rfam by way of RNAcentral.
GCCCCGGUAGCUCAGCCUGGGAGAGCGACCGGCUGAAGACCGGUAGGUCCCGGUCGUACGCUCACGUGAGUGAGCGUACGGGGAAAGUUCAAGUCCCGGCCGGGGCA